Molecule: non-coding RNA, 3194 nt
Organism: Phoenix dactylifera (date palm)
Lineage: Eukaryota; Viridiplantae; Streptophyta; Magnoliopsida; Arecales; Arecaceae
Source: RefSeq, a predicted model, not a curated record
CCCUUCUUUAAAAGAAAGGAACGGAAGGCUUCGGCCAAUACCCGUCCCUUGUUUUUCCUCGUCUCCUCGCUCGCCGGAGCUGCGAUCCCACGACGGGUGUGCCAUAUAAGGGCUAUUAUGUGGCGUGCUGGGGCGAAGCUCGCUGCUCUCACCCUUCUUGGUGGAGCAGGGGCCGUGGCCAUCGCUACGUCUGACGAUCCCUCAAGCACUUUCAAGAUUUGCACUAUCGUUCCCCUUCGCCUCAAAAGGAAAGGAACGGAAGGCCUCGGCCUAUACCCGUCCCUUGUUUUUCCUCGUCUCCUCGCUCGCCGGAGCUGCGAUCGCACGACGGGUGUGCCAUAUAAGGGUUAUUAUGUGGCGUGCUGGGGCGAAGCUCGCUGCUCUCACCCUUCUUGGCGGAGCAGGGGCCGCAGCCAUCGCUACCUCUGACGAUCCCUCAAGCACUUUCAAGAUUUGCACUAUCGUUCCCCUUCGCCUCAAAAAGAAAGGAACGGAAGGCCUCGGCCAAUACCCGUCCCUUGUUUUUCCUCGUCUCCUCGCUCGCCGGAGCUGCGAUCCCACGACGGGUGUGCCAUAUAAGGGCUAUUAUGUGGCGUGCUGGGGCGAAGCUGGCUGCCCUCACCCUUCUUGGCGGAGCAGGGGCCGCAGCCAUCGCUACCUCCGACGAUCCCUCAAGCAAUUUCAAGAUUGGCACUAUCGUUUCCCUUCGCCUCUUCCGCGACUCCAUCACCGCUGCUACCAUGGCCUUCGACUAUCAGUAUUCAUUAUGGGGGCUUAAAGAAGGAAGUAAUGAAUGGUUGAGAGCCAAGCAUGAAGUCCAUAAUCGGUUUGCUUAUAGGCUUCAAGAGUUAUGCUUCCAUAAUGGAGGAAUUUACAUCAAGCUUGGUCAACAUAAUUGGUCAAUUGGAAUAUGUAGUUCCUCAAGAAUAUGUACAAACAAUGAGGGCCUCAAUGCUGAAGAGAUGUCCAGUUUCCUCUUGUGAUCAAGUGCGAAGUGUAUUUGUGAAAGAGCUUGGGGAGCCACCAGAGAAAGUCCGUUUGGUUACAUUUCCUUUUUCAAGUUUAUCUUGCAAAAAACUAGAGAAAAGUAUAUUUUUCUUUAUUAUCUAUUUGUGCUGAAAUAAUGAAUGUUGCUGGUAGGUUGUCUUCUGAGCUAUGCAAGGGCUUAAUUAUGUUAAUGUCCGGGUUCAACACACUCACUUGACGGAUACUUGCACCACAGAUAUUGCUACUGUGGGUUUGGUAGCGAAUUUCUUGCACUGGUUCUUUCCUGCUUUUGAUUAUAGGUGGUUGGUUGAUGAAAUUCGGGAAAGUGCACCUAAGGCAAGUUUACUUUGAUUUCUACUUGAUCUUUCUAUACUAGUUUUUAGUGUUGGCAUAUAUUUGCAUGCUUGCAAUGAAGCAUGAAUGUUGUAACUCUUUAUGUACUGAUGGGAUGCAUGCAUGAUUUUCUUCAUCAUUUUUGGGCCCCUUAAUGUCUUAAUGUCGGACAUUCUCUCUGUGUGUAUAUUCACAUACGGAAGAUGUUUAUAUCUGCAUUCAGGUGACUUUUGUCCUAAUGAUUAUUUUUUUUAAUUGUUGUGAUGAUGCUUACUUUCUUCUCCCUUGUGCUUUGAGCUUUGUUUUGUGUACUGACUGCAGCUAUCAUUUUAAUGAGGACAUAGUUCAAAAUGUUUGUAUUUGGCUGACAUCUAAUGUAUCCUUUGACAACACAUCCUUUUUAGAAGAAUAUAAAUUCCUUUUCAUUUUACUCUAGAAAGGUGGACAUGGUACUUUGGUAAUUGUGGUUGUUAUUAUAGCAGUGUGCUUCUUUCUGUUUGCACUGAAGUUGAAAUUGUGAUGUAAGACUAAUUAUGGUUGGCCUACAAAGGCAUAGGUGGACCAAAGGAAUUAGGCAACGGUUUAGGUCAAGAAAUCUCCCUGUUGUUCUAUUACAGGAAGGAUGUUUUUUUGAAGAUUGUAAAAUUCAGGCCUGCCAAAAAAUUAUUCUAAUCUCAAUUCCCUUUAUCUGAUCUUUAUCCUGAUCUGUUUUCCAUCACUCUGGAUGAAUAUGCUACUGUGUCUCCUCCUGUUCAAUGGUCUAAUGGUGUUUCUCAUUUGCAUCUUUUCUUUUGAAGGACAAUUGGUGAUUACUUAAUUUUGCAACGCUCUCUGAUUUGUUAUCUUCUCUUUCACAAUUCAACCCUUCUUCAUCUGGAUAAAGCUCAUUAGAGAUGGUCUUCCGAUGGAUCUUUCACUGUCAAUUCUUACUACAGAUUUCUAAACUUUGAUAGUCUGGUCAAGAAGGAAUUCUCUUCGAUUUAGACAUCUGUUAUUUCUCUUAAGGUUAAAAAUUUCAAUUGUCUGGCUGUUAAUGAUAAAUUAUUGAUUGCUGAGAAUCUCUUGAAUAGGCACUAGGAAUUUUCCUCUAAUUGUGAUCUCUGCAAGGCCAGAGGAAAAUGGGGUUCACUAGUUCUCUAGGUGCCACCAUACUAGAGGAUUGUUGAAAUUCUUUAAAAACAGGUUAUCUAUAAAAGGUUUGUCUGGUUCGCUAUCUUCUACUUAGAAAUCUUGUAGAAAUUCUAGAAUUGAAAGGUCCCUCAGUAGGGUGAAAACAGAUGUUAUCCAUAUCUGUGUCCGUUUAAUGUCUGUAUCUACAUUUAUAUUCGCUGAAAAAAAUAUGGAUACAAAUAUGGAUAUAUUAAUAUCUGAUCCAGCUAUAGAUACAAGUUGAAUGUUAGUUAUAUUCAUAUUUUUUAUCCGAAUAUGGAUAUAAGUCUGAUUUUUUUGGAUAUAAAUUGGAUCUUGGGUGGAAUUCAAUAAUGAAAACCAACAUAAGUGACUGCACAUGAUGAGAAUAAACCGGCAUUAUCUAUCUAGAUUGCAAAUGAUGCAUGGGUAUAGUUCCUAAACCCUCAUGGAGACCGACCUGGUCAAGGGUUCAAGUCACUAGUCUAACUAGAUUUGCAUUAAAAUAAAAUAUUAAUUUUUUACAUAUAUAACUUUGAUAAAUUUAAUAAUGAUAUUGGCAAUGUAAAAAUGUUAAUAGAUUUUAUAAAUUUUCUACAUCAACCAUUACUCUUUAAUUGCAACAAAUAUAAAAGAUAAUCAUGAAUUAUCUAUUUCUUGAGAGCUUGUAAAUAAAAUAUAUGUAUAAAUAAUAAAAUGAUAUAUAUUCAUUCUUUCAUUUUUAUCAAGGGAAAAGGAUUGAUAGU